RNAcentral lists this small nuclear RNA (103 nucleotides) under Marmota marmota marmota (Alpine marmot). The record is from RNAcentral. Lineage: Eukaryota; Metazoa; Chordata; Mammalia; Rodentia; Sciuridae.
AUGCUUUGGCAGCAUAUAAACUAAAACUGAAAUGAUACAGAGAAGAUCACCAUGACUCUUGUGCAAAGAGGACAUGUAAAUUCAUGAAGUGUUCCAUAUUUUA